GACAACUCGCGGGGAUUGUUUUCCACACCGUGGAAGCUUUGUUCUUUUCGUUUUUUGCAAUAAAUCUUGUUGCUGCUCGCUUUUUGGGUCCACAUUGCUUUUAUGAGCUGUACCACUCACCGUGAAGAUCUGCAGCUUCACUUCAGAGCCUAGCGAGACCACAAGCUCACUGAGAGGAACAAACAACUCCAGACGCGCUGUCUUAAGAGCUAUAACACUCACCGCGAAGGUGUGCAGUUUCACUCCUGAGCUAGUGAGACUACGAAGCCACUGGAACGAAGAAACUCCAACCACGUUUGAACAUCAGAAGGGGCAGACUCCAGACGCUUCAUCUUAAGAGCUGUAACACUCACUGUGAAGGUCUGCAGCUUCACUCCUGAGCCAGCGAGACCACGAACCGAUCUGAACAUCAGAAGGGACAGACUCCAGAUGCCCCACCUUAAGAGCUGUAAUACUCACUGCAAGGGUCUGCAGCUUCAUUCUUGAAGUCAGACCAAGAACCCAGCAAUUCCCAACACACAGGGACCAGCUUCUUUCCUAACUCACUUAGGCUCUUCGUGCUGCUCUGGCAACUAACACCCUUGGCUGCAGGGGCUUGGACACUACCCUUAGUCACUGACAAUUGUGUGAAGGCUGCUGUCGUUAACUUCACUUGAUCACCUUAGGCUCCUGUGAAGUGGUGAGCAAUUCAAACAAAUUCCUGUCGUCAAAUCAUGUGUUCAGCUGCAUUGGCGCCAGAGCACCAAUGGGGCAAGAGAAUCCUCUGGAGAAGUUUUCUGUGAUCUCAUCACAGGAGUAGCCCAGAGGAACAGCCCAGGGCCUGGGGCCUAGGAUGGGUGGACCAGGCCAUGCAGCUGGUUGGGGGCUUGACCCCCACUCAAAAAGGAUAUACAUCUUUCCACACCAAUAGACCUUGUUUUCCGAUGUAGCAUUAUUUUUCAUAGUUGGCGAAUAUACAGUUAUGGAUUCAUAACAGCAAGAUGGAGAAAUUGCACUGCAGAGAAAUCUUUAAAAGCAAUUACCUAAUACUGCAGAUUGCUGAACUGUACCCACACCCAAGACUGAGCAUUGGAUCAAUCCAGAAUAUACAUCAGGUGUUCUGCAAUGUCUGCCUAAAACCAUGACUCUGCCUCCUCCAGCUGUUGCUACAUCUCACUAUGGGUUUCCUGUGACAUUUUGAGCAAGUAUGCCUCUGUGACUGGGGUUCUUACACUCCAGAAUGGAUGAGAAGCACCGUAAGUGGCUUUUAAAAUGAAUAUUCCCUGGCCCUUCAGUCGCUCUAUAGGUCAAGAAUCUGAAUUCUCAACCUGUCUAGAAGGUUCUGGUUUUAAUGGUCUGUGGGCUGCACAUUGAGAAACCUGUUCAGCGAGUGCAACAAAGGUUCCACAUGUGAGAAAGGAAGCAUCAGGUCUCUUGAGCCUGUUCUUUAAUCUGUAGGCUGCACCUUCUCUUUAAAUUCUGCUAAUAACACCAUGCGAGAAAACACCCGAGCUUGAAAAGCCCAUGUUCCAACAUAACUGUCCUUCACCACUCUGGAAAAUUAAUGGUUUGUUUCGAUUAUCCCUUUGUUAAACUCCAAAGUCAAAGAGCUCUGAAAGGCAUACGGUUAUUUUAAGUUUCAGGUGAUUUCUGUUGCCAAAUAUUUUAAAAAUUUAAAAUUGCUACGUGACCUCUUAGUAGUACUAUUAGAUUUCCUGACAAUAAAAAUAAGUCUUUUGGUUUCACCAUUUAUAGUUAGUACAGCUAAUAUUAAGUAUAAUUUUAAAAGCCUUUUAUUUUCUCAGAAAGAAAAAAUAAUCAAAAUCUGCUCAGUGUGGUAUUGAAUAAUUAAAAACAAAAGAACAGUAUCUUCACAUUAGUGUUUAAUAUUAAUUGCUUUUUUACCCUUGACACUGGUGCUAAUUAAAUUUUCAUUUUAUUUUCCAUGACUUGUUUAAACAGUUUUUGCAAAUUAUUGCUAAUC
This 1963-nucleotide long non-coding RNA is filed under the name Homo sapiens (human). RNAcentral describes it as "novel transcript". Lineage: Eukaryota; Metazoa; Chordata; Mammalia; Primates; Hominidae. The record is from RNAcentral.